Lactuca sativa (garden lettuce) is the source of this 798-nucleotide non-coding RNA. The record is from RefSeq and is a predicted model, not a curated record. Lineage: Eukaryota; Viridiplantae; Streptophyta; Magnoliopsida; Asterales; Asteraceae.
UUUUUUCUUAAUGCAAAAUUAUGUUCAGUCGUGUAUUUGAUUCGUUAUAUAACCUGAAACAGCCUGUGAUGCCGACAAUGGAAUUGGAUUCAGAAGCGUUUGUGGAGGUGGAUCCGAGCGGCAGGUACGGAUGCUACAGGUUUCGAUACAGACCUUGAAGAAGUGGUCAUGGAAAAUAUUGAAAGGCUUAGAUUAUCUACAUAGGCAUGAACCCUGUAUCAUUCACACAUAUCUCAAUUGUAGCAACGUCUUCAUCAAUGGCAAUAUCAGCAAGGUACAAAUAUUGAUCCAAUAAAGGAUUGGUUUUAAACAUUUUUAAUAAUAAAUAUAUAAUUAAUUAAUGAAUAGAUAUAUAGAUAUUAGGUAAAAAUUGGCGAUUUGGGUUUGGCUGCAAUAGUUAGUAAGAGCCAUUGUGCACAUUCAAUACUGGGGACACCUGAAUUCUUGGCUCCUGAGCUGUACGAGGAGGAUUACACGGAGCUGGUCGAUUUGGGUUUGAGAUGGUGACUCUUGAACUGCCUUACAACGAAUGUGAUAAUAUUGCCAGAAUUUACAAGAAGUUGACAUCGAGAAAAAGCCCUUCAUGGAGGCGUUGAGGCAACUAUUUUUCUCUACAGGACCAGAUAAUUUCUGCAUCAUUCAUGUUAGCCUUGUACCAGUUCUUGGUGUUGUUGGGGAACAGAAAACUAAGCCUACACAUCACAGUGUCCGGGAACUGCGAGAUUUAGACUUGAUCCCUCACUUUUUAGCAUGUCGUUCAGCUCAGGUAUGAUUUAUGAAUGGGUGUGUUGUGGUUAA